This 398-nucleotide ribosomal RNA is filed under the name uncultured Acinetobacter sp. RNAcentral's name for it is "bacterial SSU rRNA". It matches the Rfam family "Bacterial small subunit ribosomal RNA", at positions 523 to 916 of the family's 1533-position model. Lineage: Bacteria; Pseudomonadati; Pseudomonadota; Gammaproteobacteria; Moraxellales; Moraxellaceae. The record is from RNAcentral.
AUACAGAGGGUGCAAGCGUUAAUCGGAUUUACUGGGCUGUAAAGCGCGCGUAGGCGGCUAAUUAAGUCAAAUGUGAAAUCCCCGAGCUUAACUUGGGAAUUGCAUUCGAUACUGGUAGCUAGAGUGCUGGGAGAGGAUGGUAGAAUUCCAGGUGUAGCGGUGUAAAUGCGUAGAGAUCUGGAGGAAUACCGAUGGCGAAGGCAGCCAUCUGGCCUAACACUGACGCUGAGGUGCGAAAGCAUGGGGAGCAAACAGGAUUAGAUACCCUGGUAGUCCAUGCCGUAAACGAUGUCUACUAGCCGUUGGGGCCUUUGAGGCUUUAGUGGCGCAGCUAACGCGAUAAGUAGACCGCCUGGGGAGUACGGUCGCAAGACUCAAAACUCAAAGUGAAUUGACGG